RNAcentral lists this long non-coding RNA (324 nucleotides) under Ictidomys tridecemlineatus (thirteen-lined ground squirrel). RNAcentral's name for it is "lncRNA (ENSSTOG00000033725.1)". The record is from RNAcentral. Lineage: Eukaryota; Metazoa; Chordata; Mammalia; Rodentia; Sciuridae.
GCCCGGGAACACUCCCCCGCAGCGCGGUCCUCGGCCUCCUCUUAAAUAUUCUCAGGCAGAUGUUGUCCAUUAGUGCCCCGCGCCUCCGCAUUACAGGAGCUUAUCCACCGUGUGCCAGGGGGGCAUCAGAACUUGAGCUUCGUCUCCCCUCGACCAACAGAUUCCUCGUGACCCUGGGCAUCUAUCUGUGCACAUGGCGAAUAUUCCCCUCGGGCACACCUUUCUAGAAGGUUCGCUGCUGGUGCAAAUGGAAUACGCCAUGAGGAUUCUGCAGGCACCCAGGACGACCUCCCUGGACGCCCACAGGUUGAACCCAGAUGCACC